This 497-nucleotide ribosomal RNA is filed under the name uncultured bacterium. RNAcentral describes it as "partial 16S ribosomal RNA". It matches the Rfam family "Bacterial small subunit ribosomal RNA", at positions 28 to 507 of the family's 1533-position model. The record is from RNAcentral.
GAUGAGCGCUGGCGGCGUGCCUAAUACAUGCAAGUCGAGCGAACAGACGAGGAGCUUGCUCCUCUGACGUUAGCGGCGGACGGGUGAGUAACACGUGGAUAACCUACCUAUAAGACUGGGAUAACUUCGGGAAACCGGAGCUAAUACCGGAUAAUAUAUUGAACCGCAUGGUUCAAUAGUGAAAGACGGUUUUGCUGUCACUUAUAGAUGGAUCCGCGCCGCAUUAGCUAGUUGGUAAGGUAACGGCUUACCAAGGCAACGAUGCGUAGCCGACCUGAGAGGGUGAUCGGCAACACUGGAACUGAGACACGGUCCAGACUCCUACGGGAGGCAGCAGUAGGGAAUCUUCCGCAAUGGGCGAAAGCCUGACGGAGCAACGCCGCGUGAGUGAUGAAGGUCUUCGGAUCGUAAAACUCUGUUAUUAGGGAAGAACAAAUGUGUAAGUAACUAUGCACGUCUUGACGGUACCUAAUCAGAAAGCCACGGCUAACUACGUG